GAUGAACGCUGGCGGCGUGCUUAACACAUGCAAGUCGAACGAGAAAUGUAGACGGAAACCUUCGGGCGGAAGCCUUCAUUUCGAGUGGCGGACGGGUGAGUAACGCGUGGGUAACCUGCCUCAUACAGGGGGAUAACAGUUGGAAACGACUGUUAAUACCGCAUAAGACCACAGCAUCGCAUGAUGCGGGGGUAAAAACUCCGGUGGUAUGAGAUGGACCCGCGUUCGAUUAGCCAGUUGGCGGGGUAACGGCCCACCAAAGCGACGAUCGAUAGCCGAUCUGAGAGGAUGACCGGCCACAUUGGGACUGAGACACGGCCCAAACUCCUACGGGUGGCAGCAGUGGGGAAUAUUGCACAAUGGGGGAAACCCUGAUGCAGCGACGCCGCGUGAGUGAAGAAGUACUUCGGUAUGUAAAGCUCUAUCAGCAGGGAAGAAAAUGACGGUACCUGAGUAAGAAGCCCCGGCUAACUACGUG
This 478-nucleotide ribosomal RNA is filed under the name uncultured bacterium. Its description in RNAcentral is "partial 16S ribosomal RNA". It matches the Rfam family "Bacterial small subunit ribosomal RNA", at positions 28 to 507 of the family's 1533-position model. The record is from RNAcentral.